RNAcentral lists this ribosomal RNA (253 nucleotides) under uncultured bacterium. RNAcentral's name for it is "partial 16S ribosomal RNA". It matches the Rfam family "Bacterial small subunit ribosomal RNA", at positions 524 to 776 of the family's 1533-position model. The record is from RNAcentral.
UACGUAGGGGGCGAGCGUUGUCCGGAUUUAUUGGGCGUAAAGAGCGUGUAGGCGGCCAGGUAGGUCUGCUGUGAAAACUCGAGGCUCAACCUCGAGACGUCGGCGGAAACCAUCUGGCUAGAGUCCGGAAGAGGAGAGUGGAAUUCCGUGUGAGACGGUGAAAUGCGCAGAUAUCGGGAAGAACACCCGUGGCUAAGGCGGCUCUCUAGUACGGUACUGACGCUGAGACGCGAAAGCGUGGGGAGCGAACAGG